Molecule: ribosomal RNA, 425 nt
Filed under: uncultured bacterium
Lineage: Bacteria
Description: partial 16S ribosomal RNA
Rfam family: Bacterial small subunit ribosomal RNA
Source: RNAcentral
GUGGGGAAUCUUGCGCAAUGGGCGAAAGCCUGACGCAGCCAUGCCGCGUGAAUGAUGAAGGUCUUAGGAUUGUAAAAUUCUUUCACCGGGGACGAUAAUGACGGUACCCGGAGAAGAAGCUCCGGCUAACUUCGUGCCAGCAGCCGCGGUAAUACGAAGGGGGCUAGCGUUGCUCGGAAUUACUGGGCGUAAAGGGUGCGUAGGUGGCCUUUUAAGUUGGAUGUGAAAUACCCGGGCUUAACUUGGGGGGUGCAUCUAAUACUGGGAGGCUAGAGUGCAGGAGAGGGAAGCGGAAUUCCUAGUGUAGCGGUGAAAUGCGUAGAUAUUAGGAGGAACACCAGUGGCGAAGGCGACUUUCUGGACUGUAACUGACGCUGAGGCUCGAAAGCCAGGGGAGCGAACGGGAUUAGAAACCCUGGUAGUCC